Long non-coding RNA from Pseudopipra pipra, 427 nucleotides. RefSeq lists it as uncharacterized. Lineage: Eukaryota; Metazoa; Chordata; Aves; Passeriformes; Pipridae. The transcript has 4 exons. The record is from RefSeq and is a predicted model, not a curated record.
GCGACUGCAGGCAGGGGAAGCGACAGGCAAGUUUCUCGCCUCUGCGGAGAAACUUGCACCUGCGUGCCGCCGCAGGGCCGGGUUCGGAUGUGCCCUGGCAUUGCACACGCACCACACCCCCCCGCGGGGAGGGUCCGCGCUGCCUCGAGGACCCUGUCUGUGCUGCCGGGAGAGAGAAAUCCUUUGGGAAGCUGGGCUGGAAACAGCAACUCUGUGAACUGCUCAGCUUUUCCUAGGUGACGAAGCUUAUGGAAAAAAAGACCAAAGGCCUCGAGGGAUGUUCUUCUUGACCCCCCGAGGCAAACGGAGGUGUCAGCGUCAGGAGCCAUCCUAACUGAGGCCCCGGUAGGCUCCCUCUUUCCCUUCGGUCGCCGUGGACACUGUGCCGGACGCCUCUGGCAGGACUAACCCCGGGUCUUUUAUGUCC